Non-coding RNA from Schistosoma rodhaini, 45 nucleotides. Lineage: Eukaryota; Metazoa; Platyhelminthes; Trematoda; Strigeidida; Schistosomatidae. The record is from Rfam.
AUCUAUAUGAUGAGUACCAAAUAGGACGAAACGCACGUCCUGAAU